UACGUAGGGACCGAGCGUUGUCCGGAAUCAUUGGGCGUAAAGAGCGUGUAGGCGGCCACUUAAGUCCUGCGUGAAAUCUUGCGGCUCAACCGCAAGCGGUCGUGGGAAACUGGGUGGCUAGAGUGCGGGAGAGGAGAGUGGAAUUCCUGGUGUAGCGGUGGAAUGCGCAGAUAUCAGGAAGAACACCCAUGGCGAAGGCGGCUCUCUGGAACGCAACUGACGCUGAGACGCGAAAGCGUGGGGAGCAAACAGG
RNAcentral lists this ribosomal RNA (253 nucleotides) under uncultured bacterium. RNAcentral's name for it is "partial 16S ribosomal RNA". It matches the Rfam family "Bacterial small subunit ribosomal RNA", at positions 524 to 776 of the family's 1533-position model. The record is from RNAcentral.